GAUGAACGCUGGCGGCGUGCCUAAUACAUGCAAGUCGAGCGAACAGACGAGGAGCUUGCUCCUCUGACGUUAGCGGCGGACGGGUGAGUAACACGUGGAUAACCUACCUAUAAGACUGGGAUAACUUCGGGAAACCGGAGAUAAUAACGGAUAAUAUAUUGAACCGCAUGGUUCAAUAGUGAAAGACGGUUUUGCUGUCACUUAUAGCUGGAUCCGCGCCGCAUUAGCUAGUUGGUAAGGUAACGGCCUACCAAGGCAACGAUGCGUAGCCGACCUGAGAGGGUGAUCGGCCACACUGGAACUGAGACACGGUCCAGACUCCUACGGGAGGCAGCAGUAGGGAAUCUUCCGCAAUGGGCGAAAGCCUGACGGAGCAACGCCGCGUGAGUGAUGAAGGUCUUCGGGUCGUAAAACUCUGUUAUUAGGGAAGAACAAAUGUGUAAGUAACUAUGCACGUCUUGACGGUACCUAAUCAGAAAGCCACGGCGAACUACGU
RNAcentral lists this ribosomal RNA (496 nucleotides) under uncultured bacterium. Its description in RNAcentral is "partial 16S ribosomal RNA". It matches the Rfam family "Bacterial small subunit ribosomal RNA", at positions 28 to 506 of the family's 1533-position model. The record is from RNAcentral.